GUAGGGGUCCAAGCGUUAAUCGGAAUUACUGGGCGUAAAGCGUGCGCAGGGCGGUUGUGCAAGACCGAUGUGAAAUCCCCGGGCUUAACCUGGGAAUUGCAUUGGUGACUGCACGGCUAGAGUGUGUCAGAGGGGGGUAGAAUUCCACGUGUAGCAGUGAAAUGCGUAGAGAUGUGGAGGAAUACCGAUGGCGAAGGCAGCCCCCUGGGAUAACACUGACGCUCAUGUACGAAAGCGUGGGGAGCAAACAGGAUUAGAUACCCUGGUAGUCCACGCCCUAAACGAUGUCAACUAGUUGUUGGGGAUUCAUUUCCUUAGUAACGUAGCUAACGCGUGAAGUUGACCGCCUGGGGAGUACGGUCGCAAGAUUA
This 371-nucleotide ribosomal RNA is filed under the name uncultured organism. Its description in RNAcentral is "partial 16S ribosomal RNA". It matches the Rfam family "Bacterial small subunit ribosomal RNA", at positions 526 to 896 of the family's 1533-position model. The record is from RNAcentral.